CUAGCCUCAAGUGAUGAUUAUUGGAGGUAGAGCACUGUUUGGACGAGGGGCCCCUCUCGGGUUACCGAAUUCAGACAAACUCCGAAUGCCAAUUAAUUUAACUUGGGAGUCAGAACAUGGGUGAUAAGGUCCGUGUUCGAAAGGGAAACAGCCCAGACCACCAGCUAAGGUCCCAAAAUAUAUGUUAAGUGGAAAAGGAUGUGGCGUUGCCCAGACAACUAGGAUGUUGGCUUAGAAGCAGCCAUCAUUUAAAGAGUGCGUAAUAGCUCACUAGUCGAGUGACACUGCGCCGAAAAUGUACCGGGGCUAAACAUAUUACCGAAGCUGUGGAUUGUCCUUUGGACAAUGGUAGGAGAGCGUUCUAAGGGCGUUGAAGCAUGAUCGUAAGGACAUGUGGAGCGCUUAGAAGUGAGAAUGCCGGUGUGAGUAGCGAAAGACGGGUGAGAAUCCCGUCCACCGAUUGACUAAGGUUUCCAGAGGAAGGCUCGUCCGCUCUGGGUUAGUCGGGUCCUAAGCUGAGGCCGACAGGCGUAGGCGAUGGAUAACAGGUUGAUAUUCCUGUACCACCUAUAAUCGUUUUAAUCGAUGGGGGGACGCAGUAGGAUAGGCGAAGCGUGCGAUUGGAUUGCACGUCUAAGCAGUAAGGCUGAGUAUUAGGCAAAUCCGGUACUCGUUAAGGCUGAGC
Molecule: ribosomal RNA, 685 nt
Filed under: Staphylococcus aureus
Lineage: Bacteria; Bacillati; Bacillota; Bacilli; Caryophanales; Staphylococcaceae
Description: partial 23S ribosomal RNA
Rfam family: Bacterial large subunit ribosomal RNA
Source: RNAcentral